CCUACGGGGGGCAGCAGUGGGGGAUAUUGCACAAUGGAGGAAACUCUGAUGCAGCGACGCCGCGUGAGGGAAGACGGUCUUCGGAUUGUAAACCUCUGUCUUUGGGGAAGAAAAUGACGGUACCCAAAUAGGAAGCUCCGGCUAACUACGUGCCAGCAGCCGCGGUAAUACGUAGGGAGCGAGCGUUGUCCGGAUUUACUGGGUGUAAAGGGAGCGUAGACGGGCGAGAAAGUUGAAUGUUAAAUCUACGGGCUUAACUGGUGGCUGCGUUAGAAACUUUUUGUCUUGAGUUAAGUAGAGGUAGGCGGAAUUCCGAGUGUAGCGGUGAAAUGCGUAGAUAUUAGGAGGAACACCAGUGGCGAAGGCGGCCUGCUGGGCUUUAACUGACGCUGAGGCUCGAAAGCGUGGGGAGCAAACAGGAUUAGAUACCCGUGUAGUC
RNAcentral lists this ribosomal RNA (439 nucleotides) under uncultured bacterium. Its description in RNAcentral is "partial 16S ribosomal RNA". It matches the Rfam family "Bacterial small subunit ribosomal RNA", at positions 338 to 795 of the family's 1533-position model. The record is from RNAcentral.